RNAcentral lists this ribosomal RNA (440 nucleotides) under uncultured Exiguobacterium sp. Its description in RNAcentral is "bacterial SSU rRNA". It matches the Rfam family "Bacterial small subunit ribosomal RNA", at positions 358 to 790 of the family's 1533-position model. Lineage: Bacteria; Bacillati; Bacillota; Bacilli; Caryophanales. The record is from RNAcentral.
GGAAUCUUCCACAAUGGACGAAAGUCUGAUGGAGCAACGCCGCGUGAGUGAUGAAGGUUUUCGGAUCGUAAAACUCUGUUGUAAGGGAAGAACAGGUAUGAGAGGUAAUGCUCAUGCUAUGACGGUACCUUACGAGAAAGCCACGGCUAACUACGUGCCAGCAGCCGCGGUAAUACGUAGGUGGCAAGCGUUGUCCGGAAUUAUUGGGCGUAAAGCGCGCGCAGGCGGCCUUUUAAGUCUGAUGUGAAAGCCCCCGGCUCAACCGGGGAGGGUCAUUGGAAACUGGAAGGCUUGAGUACAGAAGAGAAGAGUGGAAUUCCAUGUGUAGCGGUGAAAUGCGUAGAGAUGUGGAGGAACACCAGUGGCGAAGGCGACUCUUUGGUCUGUAACUGACGCUGAGGCGCGAAAGCGUGGGGAGCAAACAGGAUUAGAUACCCUUG